CCACAUGUAAAACAUACUUAUUAAUAAUGUAUCACUAGGAUCAACAAAGAUUUCAACAACUUACUAAAUAUUUACCCAAAUAAUACAUUUUUCAUAUUAAUUUUUUUUUUUAAAGUGAUAAGGAGUAACAUGUAUUUUAAUCAUGACAGCUUCUUUGUAAUACAUGUCAUGAUCAAACGAUUUAUUAAAUAUCAAUCUGCAAUAUAUUCUUCAUCUAAAAAUUUAUUUUGCAUAGCACUAUUAAUGACCUUCAACAAUGCUUAUAUAAUGGAUCAAUAGAUCACUUUCAAUUAUGGCCUUCACUGGAAAAAUUUGUUUUAUUGUGAUCAUCUUUAUGAUGACAUUCAUCAGAUAGUGGGGAGCACUUGUAUCCAUGCACCAUUAAAGUCCAUCAAGCCUCUUUGUGAUCAUAGUUGUGCAGGAUAAACUAUAAAUAUUGUUUAUUCUGUUGGUACUUAAUCCCAAUUCAUUAAUGACAGCAGUGCUGAUUAUUAAGUUUAAGAAUUUAAUUUACUGAAUAAUUUGUGUAAUAUAGCAUCAAUUUUUUUCUUGCUCAAUAUGGCAAAGGAAGUGAGGAUGACCCUAUCGACAUGCAUGAAUGAUGUUCACUAAAACAAAAGUUUGUGACGGAAAAGCAACUGAAUUGAAAAGGGUCAAUUGAUUUUAAUUUUUGAGGAUGAUUGCUAUUGACAAAAUGAUUGAGGUCCAAAAUAAUGUUGGUCUUACAGUUUACAAUUUUUAUAACAUAACACAUCAUAGAAUAAUGAGACUGAUCUGCAUGUCCAGUGUUUACAAUUUAUUUGACAAGAUCUGAGUCUCUCUAGAUUAUCAAUGUAAAAUUAUGAUGAGAAAUAAUGUAAAAAUGUAUAGAAAUUAGGAAAAAAAUAUUGGAUUCAAUUCAAUCUUUACCUAACAUAACUAAGUUAACAUUUAAGACUGGAUCUUA
Molecule: long non-coding RNA, 946 nt
Filed under: Mytilus galloprovincialis (Mediterranean mussel)
Lineage: Eukaryota; Metazoa; Mollusca; Bivalvia; Mytilida; Mytilidae
Source: RNAcentral